RNAcentral lists this ribosomal RNA (253 nucleotides) under uncultured bacterium. RNAcentral describes it as "partial 16S ribosomal RNA". It matches the Rfam family "Bacterial small subunit ribosomal RNA", at positions 524 to 776 of the family's 1533-position model. The record is from RNAcentral.
UACGUAGGGGGCAAGCGUUGUCCGGAUUUAUUGGGCGUAAAGAGCGUGUAGGCGGCCAGGUAGGUCUGGUGUGAAAACUCGAGGCUUAACCUCGAGAUGUCAUCGGAAACCAUCUGGCUAGAGUCCGGAAGAGGAGUGUGGAAUUCCCGGUGUAGCGGUGAAAUGCGCAGAUAUCGGGAAGAACACCCGUGGCGAAGGCGGCACUCUGGGACGGUACUGACGCUGAGACGCGAAAGCGUGGGGAGCGAACAGG